RNAcentral lists this transfer RNA (72 nucleotides) under marine sediment metagenome. Its description in RNAcentral is "tRNA-Arg". It matches the Rfam family "tRNA". From Rfam's summary of the family: Transfer RNA (tRNA) molecules are approximately 80 nucleotides in length. Their secondary structure includes four short double-helical elements and three loops (D, anti-codon, and T loops). The record is from RNAcentral.
AGGCGUAUAGUUCAAUGGAUAGAACAAUGGACUUCUAAGCCAAAGAUGCGGGUUCGAUUCCUGCUACGCCUA